CACGUAGUAGCACCUGUCGUCUCGGAGCGGUCGUCCGGGAGAAAGUUACGGGGAAUCUUAAUAUCUUGAUUUUUAUUCUCCCUAGGGAAGGGGCGGGCGGGGGGAAGUAAAAGUACUUUUCGGGGCAAAAUCAGCGUCACCUGCCUGACGUAGGAACUGCCGCGUACCCCGGCGGAGGCUUUGCCGACAUGCUCCCGCUUUGCGCUGAACUGCGCAAAACAGCAGCGUGUGCGUGGAAGCGGUGCGCCCAGGCUGCGCGUUCAUCCCUGCGGCUGCAGUGUCCUCUUGUGGGUACGGCGAGAAGGACGCGGGCCCCACCGCCGGCGUGUGCGAGGGACACGGGAGCAGCGUGCCUGGGAAAGAGGAUCUGGGGUACCUGCCUUCGGGGCUCAUCAUGCCGUCGGUGGCAAACACCGAUGCUAAUCUACACAGAUCGAGCUUUACGGACGAAGAAGACCAGGGGGUGGCGAGCAAUAAGCCACCAAAGGUUGCCGACUGGGAUUUUGCAAAACGCUGUGCCUUGUAGGAGCCGGAAGGCAACUUUCAGAGCAAUCUGUUACUGUCAGUUCAGGCUCUUCAGCACUUACAAGAAGACUGUGAAAAAAACAGAUUCUUUCAACUGCUUUCAUCUCCGGAACUGCAUUAUUGCAAGGGGAAAAAAAAAAAACACCUGGAUUAUUGCCAGUAUGUCUGUCAGGGGGAAAAAAAGCUUUAUAAAUUGCAGUUUUGGAAGAUGUUUAACUGAUUCAGCUUUACUCAAUUGGAUUUUUUUUUUUUUUAAAUGGAAUUUAGAAGCUUAGUUGGCUUUUCAGAUCUUCUGAUGAAAAUGAUAGUUCAUGAAAAGGAAGAGGAAAAAAAUAGGUUAAAAAAAAUGAAUAUAACCUCCCCUUUAUCAAGUUUGAGUGGAUGCAGUGAUCUGUUUUAUACUCCAGAAAUCAAGCAACUCGCCCUGUAGCUGGUUUAAAUCCUAUCAAUAUUAACUUGGGAUCUGCAUAAGAAAACCCUAGUUUAAGUCCGUACUUUCCUUACUACUCUCUACAUUUUCUUGCUGCGAUGCUUAAUGCUCACGUUUUGAAAAUGAAGCUUUUGUUACAAAAUAAUCCUUUUCUAUGGCUUCUUAAAAGUGAGAUCCAAGUAUAUGUUCCCAGAGUUUUUAUUAGAUAAAAUAGAUCCACAAGAAAA
Molecule: long non-coding RNA, 1182 nt
Organism: Harpia harpyja (harpy eagle)
Lineage: Eukaryota; Metazoa; Chordata; Aves; Accipitriformes; Accipitridae
Exons: 2
Source: RefSeq, a predicted model, not a curated record